GUGCCAGCAGCCGCGGUAAUACGUAGGGUGCGAGCGUUAAUCGGAAUUACUGGGCGUAAAGCGUGCGCAGGCGGUCUUGCAAGACAGGUGUGAAAUCCCCGGGCUCAACCUGGGAACUGCCUUUGUGACUGCAAGGCUGGAGUGCGGCAGAGGGGGAUGGAAUUCCGCGUGUAGCAGUGAAAUGCGUAGAUAUGCGGAGGAACACCGAUGGCGAAGGCAAUCCCCUGGGCCUGCACUGACGCUCAUGCACGAAAGCGUGGGGAGCAAACAGGAUUAGAUACCCUGGUAGUCCACGCCCUAAACGAUGUCAACUGGUUGUUGGGUAUUAGUUUACUCAGUAACGAAGCUAACGCGUGAAGUUGACCGCCUGGGGAGUACGGCCGCAAGGUUGAAACUCAAAGAAAUUGACGG
This 411-nucleotide ribosomal RNA is filed under the name uncultured bacterium. RNAcentral's name for it is "bacterial SSU rRNA". It matches the Rfam family "Bacterial small subunit ribosomal RNA", at positions 505 to 916 of the family's 1533-position model. The record is from RNAcentral.